This 75-nucleotide transfer RNA is filed under the name Elusimicrobiota bacterium. RNAcentral describes it as "Elusimicrobia bacterium (groundwater metagenome) tRNA-Pro". It matches the Rfam family "tRNA". From Rfam's summary of the family: Transfer RNA (tRNA) molecules are approximately 80 nucleotides in length. The record is from RNAcentral. Lineage: Bacteria; Pseudomonadati; Elusimicrobiota.
CGGGGCGUGGCUCAGCUGGUCUAGAGCGCUCGCUUGGGGUGCGAGAGAUCGCUGGUUCAAAUCCAGUCGCCCCGA